UACGGGAGGCAGCAGUGGGGAAUAUUGCACAAUGGGCGCAAGCCUGAUGCAGCCAUGCCGCGUGUAUGAAGAAGGCCUUCGGGUUGUAAAGUACUUUCAGUCGUGAGGAAGGUGUUAAGGUUAAUAACCUUAGCAAUUGACGUUAGCGACAGAAGAAGCACCGGCUAACUCCGUGCCAGCAGCCGCGGUAAUACGGAGGGUGCGAGCGUUAAUCGGAACUACUGGGCGUAAAGGGCACGCAGGCGGUUAAUUAAGUUGGAUGUGAAAUCCCCGGGCUUAACCUGGGAAUGGCAUUCAAGACUGGUUAGCUAGAGUCUUGUAGAGGGGGUAGAAUUCCAUGUGUAGCGGUGAAAUGCGUAGAGAUGUGGAGGAAUACCGGUGGCGAAGGCGGCCCCUGGACAAAGACUGACGCUCAUGUGCGAAAGCGUGGGGAGCAAACAGGGAUUAGAUACC
Molecule: ribosomal RNA, 453 nt
Filed under: uncultured bacterium
Lineage: Bacteria
Description: bacterial SSU rRNA
Rfam family: Bacterial small subunit ribosomal RNA
Source: RNAcentral